Molecule: ribosomal RNA, 253 nt
Filed under: uncultured bacterium
Lineage: Bacteria
Description: partial 16S ribosomal RNA
Rfam family: Bacterial small subunit ribosomal RNA
Source: RNAcentral
UACGGAGGGUGCAAGCGUUAUCCGGAUUCACUGGGUUUAAAGGGUGCGUAGGCGGACUUAUAAGUCAGUGGUGAAAGCCCGGGGCUCAACUCCGGAAUUGCCGUUGAUACUGUAAGUCUCGAGUACAGUUGAGGUGGGCGGAAUACAUCAUGUAGAGGUGAAAUUCUUAGAUAUGAUGUAGAACACCGAUUGCGAAGGCAGCUCACUGAAGUGUAACUGACGCUGAGGCACGAAAGCGUGGGUAUCAAACAGG